AUGAGUGAUGCUACUUGGGAUGAUGCUCAAUUAGGUAGAGGACACAUCAAUGGUGGGGUAGCCUUAGGCAUAGCUAAUAGGUGGAGUAGGAGAAGAUGUACAUAUGAUGGUGAUGUGAGCACAUAUAUAGGAGUGAAGCUAGUAAAAAAAUACAACAAGCUUGCAGCGAGAAGAGGAAUGGAAGAGGAUUUGGAGGAGAGGAGAUGGGGGCCAUGGUAUAAAUUUAGAGGAUUAGGAAAAGGGUGUGCACAUGAUGGCGAAAUGAUAUGGAGUGGAGAAAUUGGAUCUGCCUUCUUUUGGGGAAGGGGGGCAUCAUGGGUGGCGCACGCCACCUCCCCUUGA
Molecule: ribosomal RNA, 342 nt
Filed under: Triticum aestivum (bread wheat)
Lineage: Eukaryota; Viridiplantae; Streptophyta; Magnoliopsida; Poales; Poaceae
Description: partial small subunit ribosomal RNA
Source: RNAcentral